Long non-coding RNA from Syngnathus typhle (broad-nosed pipefish), 398 nucleotides. RefSeq lists it as uncharacterized. The record is from RefSeq and is a predicted model, not a curated record. The transcript has 3 exons. Lineage: Eukaryota; Metazoa; Chordata; Actinopteri; Syngnathiformes; Syngnathidae.
UCCGUACUCACUACGCAUCUUUAAAAGACUUGGGACAUGAGGUGAUCUGGUAGUAUCCAUUGUUUGGAGACUGAUUUGAAGGGAUGUGCUAUAUCAUGGACGUCUCAAAACAGUUUUCUCAAAAUGAGAUGUUAUGCCCUUGAAAUAAAAAGCUCCCAUUCCAUGACUCAUCACCUUUCUACCGAAUGCGUGCAUAUGUGGAUGUGCUUCUCGAUGUAUCUGCGAUCUUCCCACUGUGCUGAUCACAAGUCACGGCGGAAUGUGGCAGAAAGGCAAUGGCAACUCGACAGUCCGGUUGGACGUCUGCGUGUGACGAGCUAGACCAAAAGGUCACACACUUCAAAAAUGCUGUUCUGCACCUCUGACAGCUUUAUAAGGCUUGUGUAAACAUAAACCCC